Long non-coding RNA from Ictalurus punctatus (channel catfish), 614 nucleotides. The record is from Ensembl. Lineage: Eukaryota; Metazoa; Chordata; Actinopteri; Siluriformes; Ictaluridae.
CAGCACAGGAACACUGAUAAUCAACUAUUUCGUGAUAACGAAAUUCACGAACAUCGGUGACGCAAAAACUGAACCUCACGCUCAGGUGAUCGUACCAUUGAGGAGGUUGUCAUCUUAUCCCCCCUCUCGUCUGAGAAUAAACAUUUGUGCUUUUGAUGGAAGCACUGUUUGUUCUCCAGUUUUUCACAACUGUACAGGAACACUGACUAUCAACUAUUUCAGUGAGAAAGAACUUCAUGAGCAUCACUGAACAACUGAACCUGAACUCCAGGCUCAAGCACACUUCAUCUGACAGUGCCAUAGAAACAGUGAUGGACUGGACCUCACACAGUGUUCCUGGGAUAUGCUCCGUGAUCACUGGAUAGCUUCACUUGGACACUAUAGACUUGAAACUAACACAUCCACAAUAUAUUUUUUAAUCAUUUCUCCCCUGUCUGGAACAACACCCUCCUACCUCAACUCUCUCCUGAAGGCCUACAUUCCCUCACGCAAUCUGCGAUCAAUUAGCGACCGACGUUUUGUACAUAAAAAUAUUAAAUGUAAAUGUAAUGUCUUAACCCUUAUUUUAGUUCCUUAGUCAACAGCUUGCAAAAAAAAGUAAAAGUACUUGUGAG